RNAcentral lists this long non-coding RNA (242 nucleotides) under Elaeis guineensis (African oil palm). RNAcentral describes it as "long non-coding RNA (EGUI_LNC066344)". Lineage: Eukaryota; Viridiplantae; Streptophyta; Magnoliopsida; Arecales; Arecaceae. The record is from RNAcentral.
AUAAUGGCCACUACUCUACUCCACUCUCUGCAAUGGAUUCCACAUGGCUCCACCACUCUCUGGCAAGUCGCGACAACGGACACUACUCCACUCUCCGUAACAAACUCCACGUGACCCUGAACGGCCCCUGACACUACUCCUCUCUGCAACAAACUCUGCAUGGUCAUGAACGGCCCACUACCAGGUGGUUACAGACGUCGCUAUCAAUCAGUUUCGCUCUCCGUCUAUAAAAAGGGACCCCC